RNAcentral lists this ribosomal RNA (381 nucleotides) under uncultured Stichotrichia. Its description in RNAcentral is "partial Bacterial large subunit ribosomal RNA". It matches the Rfam family "Bacterial large subunit ribosomal RNA", at positions 175 to 509 of the family's 2925-position model. The record is from RNAcentral. Lineage: Eukaryota; Ciliophora; Spirotrichea.
GGAAGAUAACCCGGGGAAGUGAAACAUCUAAGUACCCGGAGGAACAGAAAGAGUAAUCGAUUCCCUAAGUAGCGGCGAGCGAACCGGGAAGAGCCUAAACCUGUCUGCAUGUAUAAGCCUGCAAGCGUUGUGCAGCGGGGGUAGUGGGAUGCAAUGUUGACUGAUUGCAGUUAGUCAGAGGAGUCAGAAAGUUGAUUGAUAGCAGAAUCAUCUGGAAAGUUGAGCCAUAGCGGGUGAUAGCCCCGUAAGCGAAAUGAAUCAACCUCCUUAUUAGUAUUCCCGAGUACUGCGGGACACGAGAAAUCCUGUGGGAAUCUGUGCCGACCACGGCAUAAGGCUAAAUAUGCUUCUGUGACCGAUAGUGAACCAGUACCGUGAGGG